This 109-nucleotide non-coding RNA is filed under the name Neisseria sp. Its description in RNAcentral is "SAM-I-IV sequence". It matches the Rfam family "SAM-I/IV (S-adenosyl methionine) riboswitch aptamer". From Rfam's summary of the family: It is found upstream of a number of genes which code for proteins involved in methionine or cysteine biosynthesis. It has been found mostly in the order Actinomycetales. Lineage: Bacteria; Pseudomonadati; Pseudomonadota; Betaproteobacteria; Neisseriales; Neisseriaceae. The record is from RNAcentral. RNAcentral also lists the same sequence under 1 other name.
GCUCUGCAUCACGAGUUGGGAAACCAUGCCAACCUGCCUAUUGCCGGCAAGGUGGAAUGCGCGUGCAGAUGCGGCUGUUGAUUUUUCGACGGUAAAUAUCGGCAUCACA